Molecule: ribosomal RNA, 419 nt
Filed under: bacterium
Lineage: Bacteria
Description: partial 16S ribosomal RNA
Rfam family: Bacterial small subunit ribosomal RNA
Source: RNAcentral
UGGGGGAUAUUGCACAAUGGGCGAAAGCCUGAUGCAGCGACGCCGCGUGGGGGAUGAAGGCCUUCGGGUUGUAAACUUCUUUUGCUCUGAACAAGGCAUGCUAAUGGGUGUGUUGAGUGUAGGGGUUGAUUAGCGCCGGCUAACUACGUGCCAGCAGCCGCGGUAAUACGUAAGGCGCGAGCGUUGUCCGGAAUUAUUGGGCGUAAAGGGCUUGUAGGUGGCUGGUUGCGUCUGUCGUGAAAGCUCAUGGCUUAACUGUGGGUUUGCGGUGGGUACGGGCUGGCUUGAGUGCAGUAGGGGAGGCUGGAAUUCCUGGUGUAGCGGUGGAAUGCGCAGAUAUCAGGAGGAAUACCGGUGGCGAAGGCGGGUCUCUGGGCUGUUACUGACACUGAGGAGCGAAAGCAUGGGGAGCGAACAGG